Molecule: ribosomal RNA, 1175 nt
Filed under: uncultured Bifidobacterium sp.
Lineage: Bacteria; Bacillati; Actinomycetota; Actinomycetes; Bifidobacteriales; Bifidobacteriaceae
Description: bacterial SSU rRNA
Rfam family: Bacterial small subunit ribosomal RNA
Source: RNAcentral
UGCUCCAGUUGGAUGCAUGUCCUUCUGGGAAAGAUUCAUCGGUAUGGGAUGGGGUCGCGUCCUAUCAGCUUGAUGGCGGGGUAACGGCCCACCAUGGCUUCGACGGGUAGCCGGCCUGAGAGGGCGACCGGCCACAUUGGGACUGAGAUACGGCCCAGACUCCUACGGGAGGCAGCAGUGGGGAAUAUUGCACAAUGGGCGCAAGCCUGAUGCAGCGACGCCGCGUGCGGGAUGACGGCCUUCGGGUUGUAAACCGCUUUUGACUGGGAGCAAGCCCUUCGGGGUGAGUGUACCUUUCGAAUAAGCACCGGCUAACUACGUGCCACCACCCGCGGUAAUACGUAGGGUGCAAGCGUUAUCCGGAAUUAUUGGGCGUAAAGGGCUCGUAGGCGGUUCGUCGCGUCCGGUGUGAAAGUCCAUCGCUUAACGAUGGAUCCGCGCCGGGUACGGGCGGGCUUGAGUGCGGUAAGGGAGACUGGAAUUCCCGGUGUAACGGUGGAAUGUGUAGAUAUCAGGAAGAACACCAAUGGCGAAGGCAGGUCUCUGGGCCGUCACUGACACUGACGAGCGAAAGCGUGGGGAGCGAACAGGAUUAGAUACCCUGGUAGUUCACGCCGUAAACGGUGGAUGCUGGAAGUGGGGACCAUUUCACGGUGUCCGUGUUGGAACCAAAGCGUUAAGCAUUCCGCCUGGGGAGUACGGCCGCAAGGGUUAAAAUUAAAGAAAUUGACGGGGGCCCGCACAAACGGCGGAGCAUGCGGAUUAAUUUGAAGCAAAGGGAAGAACCUUACCUGGGCUUGACAAGUUCCCGACAGCCCCAGAGAAGGGGCCUUCCUUUGGGGGGGGUUUACAAGUGGUGCAAGGUUGUUGUUAAGUUGUGUUGUGAGAAGUUGGGGUAAAUUCCGCAAAGAGGGCAACCCUUGCCCUGUGUUGCCAACAGGUUGAGGCGGGAAAUUAAGGGGGGCCGCCGGGGUUAAAUUGGAGGAAAGUGGGGAAGAAGUUAGAUUAUUAUGCCCCUUAAGUUCAAGGGUUUAAGCAAGGUACAAAGGCCGGUACAACGGGAUGGGACCUCGUGAGGGGGGAGCGGAUCCCUUAAAACCGGUCUCAGUUCGGAUUGCAGUCUGCAACCCGACUCCAUGAAGGCGGAGUCGCUAGUAAUCGCGGAUCAGCAACGC